CCUACGGGAGGCUGCAGUGGGGAAUAUUGCACAAUGGGGGAAACCCUGAUGCAGCGACGCCGCGUGAGUGAAGAAGUAUUUCGGUACGUAAAGCUCUAUCAGCAGGGAAGAAAAUGACGGUACCUGACUAAGAAGCCCCGGCUAACUACGUGCCAGCAGCCGCGGUAAUACGUAGGGGGCAAGCGUUAUCCGGAUUUACUGGGUGUAAAGGGAGCGUAGACGGCAGCGCAAGUCUGGAGUGAAAUCCCAUGGCUUAACCAUGGAACUGCUUUGGAAACUGUGCAGCGAGAGUGCAGGAGAGGUAAGCGGAAUUCCUAGUGUAGCGGUGAAAUGCGUAGAUAUUAGGAGGAACACCAGUGGCGAAGGCGGCUUACUGGACUGUAACUGACGUUGAGGCUCGAAAGCGUGGGGAGCAAACAGGAUUAGAUACCCUGGUAGUC
Molecule: ribosomal RNA, 440 nt
Filed under: uncultured bacterium
Lineage: Bacteria
Description: partial 16S ribosomal RNA
Rfam family: Bacterial small subunit ribosomal RNA
Source: RNAcentral